Molecule: unclassified non-coding RNA, 270 nt
Filed under: uncultured Mucorales
Lineage: Eukaryota; Fungi; Mucoromycota; Mucoromycetes; Mucorales
Description: sequence contains 5.8S rRNA gene, ITS2, 28S rRNA gene
Source: RNAcentral
AACGCAUCUUGCACUCAAUGGUAUUCCAUUGAGUACGCCUGUUUCAGUAUCAAAAACAACCCUUAUUCAAAAUUCUUUUUUUGAAUAGAUAUGAGUGUAGCAACCUUACAAGUUGAGACAUUUUAAAUAAAGUCAGGCCAUAUCGUGGAUUGAGUGCCGAUACUUUUUUAAUUUUGAAAAGGUAAAGCAUGUUGAUGUCCGCUUUUUGGGCCUCCCAAAUAACUUUUUAAACUUGAUCUGAAAUCAGGUGGGAUUACCCGCUGAACUUAA